UAGGGAAUCUUCCGCAAUGGACGCAAGUCUGACGGAGCAACGCCGCGUGAGUGAAGAAGGAUUUCGGUUCGUAAAACUCUGUUGUUAGAGAAGAACAGCGCAUAGAGUAACUGUUAUGCGUGUGACGGUAUCUAACCAGAAAGCCACGGCUAACUACGUGCCAGCAGCCGCGGUAAUACGUAGGUGGCAAGCGUUGUCCGGAUUUAUUGGGCGUAAAGCGAGCGCAGGCGGUCAAUUAAGUCUGAUGUGAAAGCCCCCGGCUCAACCGGGGAGGGGCAUUGGAAACUGGUUGACUUGAGUGCAGAAGAGGAGAGUAGAAUUCCAUGUGUAGCGGUGAAAUGCGUAGAUAUAUGGAGGAACACCAGUGGCGAAGGCGACUCUCUGGUCUGUAACUGACGCUGAGGCUCGAAAGCGUGGGUAGCAAACAGG
RNAcentral lists this ribosomal RNA (429 nucleotides) under Bacteroidota bacterium. RNAcentral describes it as "Bacteroidetes bacterium partial 16S ribosomal RNA". It matches the Rfam family "Bacterial small subunit ribosomal RNA", at positions 355 to 776 of the family's 1533-position model. Lineage: Bacteria; Pseudomonadati; Bacteroidota. The record is from RNAcentral.